UAAGGAAUAUUGGUCAAUGGACGCAAGUCUGAACCAGCCAUGCCGCGUGGAGGAUGAAGGUCCUCUGGAUUGUAAACUUCUUUUAUCUGGGAAGAAAUCCAUUUUUUCUAAAAUGGUUGACGGUACCAGAUGAAUAAGCACCGGCUAACUCCGUGCCAGCAGCCGCGGUAAUACGGAGGGUGCAAGCGUUAUCCGGAUUCACUGGGUUUAAAGGGUGCGCAGGUGGGUAAGUAAGUCAGUGGUGAAAUCUCCGGGCUUAACCCGGAAACUGCCAUUGAUACUAUUUGUCUUGAAUACUGUGGAGGUCAGCGGAAUAUGUCAUGUAGCGGUGAAAUGCUUAGAUAUGACAUAGAACACCAAUUGCGAAGGCAGCUGGCUACACAAAUAUUGACACUGAGGCACGAAAGCGUGGGGAGUCAAACAGGGUUAGGAUACCCUGGUAGUCCACGCCUUAAACUA
RNAcentral lists this ribosomal RNA (459 nucleotides) under uncultured Bacteroidota bacterium. RNAcentral describes it as "bacterial SSU rRNA". It matches the Rfam family "Bacterial small subunit ribosomal RNA", at positions 355 to 809 of the family's 1533-position model. Lineage: Bacteria; Pseudomonadati; Bacteroidota. The record is from RNAcentral.